UCCCAUCCCCAUCUGCCAUGGCCCCCUCCCCCCUCAUGGCCCUGACCCUGCUGACCCUUCUGACCCUCGCAGGGCUCCGGGCGGCCGUGACCCUGCAGGAGUCCGGGGGGGACCUCCAGCCCCCCGGGGGGUCCCUGACUCUGCUCUGCAACAGCUCCGGGUUCCCCCUGGGCAACCACGACAUGUUCUGGAUCCGCCAGCGCCCCGGCCAGGGGCUGCGCUUGGUCGCCCACAUCACCCACGACGGAGGCCAGGCCAUCUACGCGCCGUCGGUGCGGGGCCGGGCCAGGAUCUCCCGGGACAACGGGCAGGGCUCGGUGACGCUGACCAUGACCGACCUCCGGGACGAGGAUUCCGGAUCCUAUUUCUGUGCCCGGCGUCACAAACAUUGGGCAGCGGAUUUGGUUUUUAUUGACGGCGCCGGCAGCGGCCCCGCCCCCACCGUGCUCCCCGGGCCCUGA
Haemorhous mexicanus (house finch) is the source of this 461-nucleotide non-coding RNA. The record is from the annotation of a RefSeq genome assembly. NCBI's taxonomy places the organism in Eukaryota, Metazoa, Chordata, Aves, Passeriformes, Fringillidae.